AUGCUCGUUCAAUGCAAUCCACCUGGACAGGCUCCUUACUGAGAUCCUCCACUGCAGAUUUAACAUGAACCUCAACAAUUCUAUUAGUCCACUCCUCAAUAGCCCCUGCCAACCCAAUAUUGGGCUUCACCUCCAAGGACUUCAAAACCUGCCCAGUGACUGGACAAGUUGGCUGUCGACCGUCCUCUAUGCAGCGGUGGAACCAAUAGUUGAUGGCUUUCCUCUCGUAAGUCUGAGAAGACUCCAAAACCACAGGCUCCUUCAUAACUUCCUUAGUCAAAGGACAAAGAAAAUUCUUAAGCGGAGAAAUGUGC
RNAcentral lists this unclassified non-coding RNA (314 nucleotides) under Hevea brasiliensis (rubber tree). Lineage: Eukaryota; Viridiplantae; Streptophyta; Magnoliopsida; Malpighiales; Euphorbiaceae. The record is from RNAcentral.